Molecule: ribosomal RNA, 597 nt
Filed under: uncultured bacterium
Lineage: Bacteria
Description: bacterial SSU rRNA
Rfam family: Bacterial small subunit ribosomal RNA
Source: RNAcentral
GCAAACGGGUGCGGAACACGUACGCAACCUUCCUUUAAGUGGGGAAUAGCCCAGGGAAACCUUGGAUUAAUACCCCGUAACAUUAUGAGAUGGCAUCAUCUUAUAAUUAUAGCUUCGGCGCUUAAAGAUGGGCGUGCGUCUGAUCAGGUAGUUGGCGGGGUAACGGCCACCAAGCCUUCGAUCAGUAACUGGUGUGAGAGCACGACCAGUCACACGGGCACUGAGACACGGGCCCGACUCCUACGGGAGGCAGCAGUAAGGAAUAUUGGUCAAUGGACGCAAGUCUGAACCAGCCAUGCCGCGUGAAGGAUGAAGGUCCUCUGGAUUGUAAACUUCUUUUAUCUGGGAAGAAACCCAUCUUUUCUAAGGUGGUUGACGGUACCAGUUGAAUAAGCACCGGCUAACUCCGUGCCAGCAGCCGCGGUAAUACGGAGGGUGCAAGCGUUAUCCGGAUUCACUGGGUUUAAAGGGUGCGUAGGCGGGCAGGUAAGUCAGUGGUGAAAUCUCCGGGCUUAACCCGGAAACUGCCGUUGAUACUAUUUGUCUUGAAUAUCGUGGAGGUGAGGCGGGCAUAUGUCCAUGUAGGCGGGUGAAAUU